CAUAGGUUAAUGAGGCGAACCGGGGGAACUGAAACAUCUAAGUACCCCGAGGAAAAGAAAUCAACCGAGAUUCCCCCAGUAGCGGCGAGCGAACGGGGAGGAGCCCAGAGCCUGAAUCAGUGUGUGUGUUAGUGGAAGCGUCUGGAAAGGCGCGCGAUACAGGGUGACAGCCCCGUACACAAAAAUGCACAUAUUGUGAGCUCGAUGAGUAGGGCGGGACACGUGGUAUCCUGUCUGAAUAUGGGGGGACCAUCCUCCAAGGCUAAAUACUCCUGACUGACCGAUAGUGAACCAGUACCGUGAGGGAAAGGCGAAAAGAACCCCGGCGAGGGGAGUGAAAAAGAACCUGAAACCGUGUACGUACAAGCAGUGGGAGCCUCUUAAUGGGGUGACUGCGUACCUUUUGUAUAAUGGGUCAGCGACUUAUAUUCUGUAGCAAGGUUAACCGAAUAGGGGAGCCGAAGGGAAACCGAGUCUUAACUGGGCGUUAAGUUGCAGGGUAUAGACCCGAAACCCGGUGAUCUAGCCAUGGGCAGGUUGAAGGUUGGGUAACACUAACUGGAGGACCGAACCGACUAAUGUUGAAAAAUUAGCGGAUGACUUGUGGCUGGGGGUGAAAGGCCAAUCAAACCGGGAGAUAGCUGGUUCUCCCCGAAAGCUAUUUAGGUAGCGCCUCGUGAAUUCAUCUCCGGGGGUAGAGCACUGUUUCGGCAAGGGGGUCAUCCCGACUUACCAACCCGAUGCAAACUGCGAAUACCGGAGAAUGUUAUCACGGGAGACACACGGCGGGUGCUAACGUCCGUCGUGAAGAGGGAAACAACCCAGACCGCCAGCUAAGGUCCCAAAGUCAUGGUUAAGUGGGAAACGAUGUGGGAAGGCCCAGACAGCCAGGAUGUUGGCUUAGAAGCAGCCAUCAUUUAAAGAAAGCGUAAUAGCUCACUGGUCGAGUCGGCCUGCGCGGAAGAUGUAACGGGGCUAAACCAUG
Molecule: ribosomal RNA, 985 nt
Filed under: Escherichia coli
Lineage: Bacteria; Pseudomonadati; Pseudomonadota; Gammaproteobacteria; Enterobacterales; Enterobacteriaceae
Also listed under: 1 other name
Description: partial 23S ribosomal RNA
Rfam family: Bacterial large subunit ribosomal RNA
Source: RNAcentral